AACCGACCUGGCUCACACCGGUYUAAACUCAGAUCAUGUAAAAUUUUAAAGGUCGAACAGACCUCCCUUAUCAGCUUCUACACCAAUAAUUAAUUUUAAUCCAACAUCGAGGUCGCAAUCUAUUUUUUCGAUAAGAACUCUAAAAAAAAUUACGCUGUUAUCCCUAAGGUAAUUUUUUCUUCUAACCUAAACUUUAGGAUCAUACAUAUACAAAUAAAUAUAAAAAUAAAAAAAAAGUUAAUUAAAUUUUCCCAUCACCCCAACAAAAUAAAUGCUAAAAUAAAUGAUUAAUAAAACCUAUAAACUAAAUAUUAAAGCAAAUAUUAAACUCUAUAGGGUCUUCUUGUCUUCAACACAAAUUUAAGCUUUUUGACUUAAAAAUAAAAUUUUAAUAAAUUUUUACAGAGACAGCCACUCUUUCAUCAAACCUUUCAUACAAGCUUUCAAUUAAAAAACUAGUGACUAUGCUACCUUAGCACGGUCAGUAUACCGCGGCCAUUCAACCACUCAGUGGGCAGGUCAUA
Molecule: ribosomal RNA, 524 nt
Filed under: Trigonopterus serratifemur
Lineage: Eukaryota; Metazoa; Arthropoda; Insecta; Coleoptera; Curculionidae
Description: partial 16S ribosomal RNA
Source: RNAcentral